GCCGGCGUGGUGCAAUUAGUAGCACGCCCACUCCCCCAUAACAGAAAGACCUGCGGGCCCCUACGCCACAAAGAUCGUGGGAGAUUGAGGUUCAAGUCCUCGCGUUGGUA
Tirmania nivea is the source of this 110-nucleotide non-coding RNA. The record is from the annotation of a GenBank genome assembly. NCBI's taxonomy places the organism in Eukaryota, Fungi, Ascomycota, Pezizomycetes, Pezizales, Pezizaceae.